Molecule: ribosomal RNA, 759 nt
Filed under: uncultured archaeon
Lineage: Archaea
Description: bacterial SSU rRNA
Rfam family: Archaeal small subunit ribosomal RNA
Source: RNAcentral
GCUAUCCCCGAUAGGUGAGGACGCCUGGAAUGACCCCUCACCCAAAGGACGUUGAAACCAUGCUUUUCAGCGUUGCCUAAGGAUGGAGCCGCGGCCGAUCAGGUUGUUGGUGGGGCAAAGGCUCACCAAGCCUAUAACCGGUACGGGCCAUGAGAGUGGGAGCCCGGAGAUGGGCACUGAGACAAGGGCCCAGGCCCUACGGGGCGCAGCAGUUGCGAAACCUCCACAAUGCACGAAAGUGUGAUGGGGCUAACCCGAGUGCCGUCCGCUGAGGAUGGCUUUUCUCCGCUGUAAGGAGGCGGAGGAAUAAGGAGAGGGCAAGACUGGUGUCAGCCGCCGCGGUAAUACCAGCUCUCCGAGUGGUAGGGACGAUUAUUGGGCUUAAAGCGUUCGUAGCCGGCCUGGAAAGUCUCUCGUCAAAUCCAGCGACCCAAUCGCUGGGCCGCGGGAGAUACUACUAGGCUUGGGAGCGGGAGAGGCCGACGGUAUUCCCGGGGUAGGAGUGAAAUCCUGUAAUCCCGGGAGGACCACCAGUGGCGAAGGCUGUCGGCUAGAACGCGUCCGACGGUGAGGGACGAAAGCUGGGGGAGCGAACCGGAUUAGAUACCCGGGUAGUCCCAGCUGUAAACGAUGCGGGCUAGGUGUCGGUGUGGCUACGAGCCACUCCGGUGCCGCGGGGAAGCUCUUAAGCCCGCCGCCUGGGAAGUACGGUCGCAAGGCUGAAACUUAAGGAUUGGCGGGGAGCACACAGGGUAACUG